UCUCUUUGUGUCCAAAGCACCAUCAUGUCAAAUUGGACGAACUGACUAAAACAAAAGUUUAAAUAAAUUGUACGUGUCAUGACUCAAAAUUGGAAAAUCCUCUUCGAAUAUUCUGUACAAUCCACUUAGUCAAGUAUCAUAGUGUGAUACAUGGAAUAGUGAUGAUGGCGUUGCUUGCUUCAUUCAAAAAAAUAAAAACAGGGAAUGGAAGAUUGCUUGGAGGUGUUAUGUAAAUUGGCAGCUGGUAUUCACCGAAUCGGAAUUCAGAGAUGGGGUCGUCUCAUCCAAGUUCGAAG
This is a long non-coding RNA of Aphidius gifuensis, 296 nucleotides long. RefSeq lists it as uncharacterized. The record is from RefSeq and is a predicted model, not a curated record. NCBI's taxonomy places the organism in Eukaryota, Metazoa, Arthropoda, Insecta, Hymenoptera, Braconidae. The transcript has 3 exons.